This 157-nucleotide ribosomal RNA is filed under the name Fagonia cretica. Its description in RNAcentral is "5.8 ribosomal RNA". The stretch from base 22 to 157 matches the Rfam family "5.8S ribosomal RNA". Rfam says of the family: 5.8S ribosomal RNA (5.8S rRNA) is a component of the large subunit of the eukaryotic ribosome. Lineage: Eukaryota; Viridiplantae; Streptophyta; Magnoliopsida; Zygophyllales; Zygophyllaceae. The record is from RNAcentral.
UCCUUUGCAUUGAAUCAAAACGACUCUCGGCAACGGAUAUCUCGGCUCUCGCAUCGAUGUGCGAUACUUGGUGUGAAUUGCAGAAUCCAGCGAACCAUCGAGUCUUUGAACGCAAGUUGCGCCCGAAGCCUUCGGGUUAAGGGCACGUCUGCCUGGG